RNAcentral lists this ribosomal RNA (283 nucleotides) under uncultured prokaryote. Its description in RNAcentral is "partial 16S ribosomal RNA". It matches the Rfam family "Bacterial small subunit ribosomal RNA", at positions 524 to 817 of the family's 1533-position model. The record is from RNAcentral.
UACGUAGGGGCGAGCGUUGUCCGGAAUGAUUGGGCGUAAAGGGCGCGUAGGCGGCUUGUUAAGUCUGGAGUGGAAGUCCUCUUUUCAAGGGAGGAAUUGCUUUGGAAACUGGCGGGCUUGAGUGCAGGAGAGGUUAUCGGAAUUCCCGGUGUAGCGGUGAAAUGCGUAGAGAUCGGGAGGAACACCAGUGGCGAAGGCGGGUAACUGGACUGUAACUGACGCUGAGGCGCGAAAGUGUGGGGAGCAAACAGGAUUAGAUACCCCGGUAGUCCCUGAGCGGGCU